This 485-nucleotide ribosomal RNA is filed under the name uncultured bacterium. Its description in RNAcentral is "bacterial SSU rRNA". It matches the Rfam family "Bacterial small subunit ribosomal RNA", at positions 794 to 1291 of the family's 1533-position model. The record is from RNAcentral.
UCCACGCCGUAAACGAUGAGUACUAAGUGUUGGGGGAACCCAGUGCUGUAGUUAACAUAUUAAGUACUCCGCCUGAGUAGUACGUACGCAAGUAUGAAACUCAAAGGAAUUGACGGGACCCCGCACAAGCGGUGGAUGAUGUUGUUUAAUUCGAAGAUACGCGAAAAACCUUACCAGGUCUUGACAUACUCUGCAAAGCUAUAGAGAUAUAGUGGAGGUUAACAGAGAUACAGGUGGUGCAUGGUUGUCGUCAGCUCGUGUCGUGAGAUGUUGGGUUAAGUCCCGCAACGAGCGCAACCCUUAUUGCUAGUUACCAUCAUUAAGUUGGGGACUCUAGCGAGACUGCCAGUGAUAAACUGGAGGAAGGUGGGGAUGACGUCAAAUCAUCAUGCCCCUUAUGACCUGGGCUACAAACGUCAUACAAUGGCUGAAACAAAGAGAAGCGAAGCAGUGAUGUGGAGCAAAACUCAUAAAAGCAGUCUCAG